AUUACCGAGUUUACAACUCCCAAACCCCUGUGAACAUACCAAUUGUUGCCUCGGCGGAUCAGCCCGCUCCCGGUAAAACGGGACGGCCCGCCAGAGGACCCCUAAACUCUGUUUCUAUAUGUAACUUCUGAGUAAAACCAUAAAUAAAUCAAAACUUUCAACAACGGAUCUCUUGGUUCUGGCAUCGAUGAAGAACGCAGCAAAAUGCGAUAAGUAAUGUGAAUUGCAGAAUUCAGUGAAUCAUCGAAUCUUUGAACGCACAUUGCGCCCGCCAGUAUUCUGGCGGGCAUGCCUGUUCGAGCGUCAUUUCAACCCUCAAGCCCAGCUUGGUGUUGGGACUCGCGAGUCAAAUCGCGUUCCCCAAAUUGAUUGGCGGUCACGUCGAGCUUCCAUAGCGUAGUAGUAAAACCCUCGUUACUGGUAAUCGUCGCGGCCACGCCGUUAAACCCCAACUUCUGAAUGUUGACCUCGGAUCAGGUAGGAAUACCCGCUGAACUUAAGCAUAUCAAUAAGCGGAGGAAAAGAAACCAACAGGGAUUGCCCUAGUAACGGCGAGUGAAGCGGCAACAGCUCAAAUUUGAAAUCUGGCUCUCGGGCCCGAGUUGUAAUUUGUAGAGGAUACUUUUGAUGCGGUGCCUUCCGAGUUCCCUGGAACGGGACGCCAUAGAGGGUGAGAGCCCCGUCUGGUUGGAUGCCAAAUCUCUGUAAAGUUCCUUCGACGAGUCGAGUAGUUUGGGAAUGCUGCUCUAAAUGGGAGGUAUAUGUCUUCUAAAGCUAAAUACCGGCCAGAGACCGAUAGCGCACAAGUAGAGUGAUCGAAAGAUGAAAAGCACUUUGAAAAGAGAGUUAAAAAGUACGUGAAAUUGUUGAAAGGGAAGCGUUUAUGACCAGACUUGGGCUUGGUUGAUCAUCUGGGGUUCUCCCCAGUGCACUCUUCCAGUCCAGGCCAGCAUCAGUUUUCGCCGGGGGAUAAAGACUUCGGGAAUGUGGCUCUCUUCGGGGAGUGUUAUAGCCCGUUGUGUAAUACCCUGGCGGGGACUGAG
Molecule: ribosomal RNA, 1043 nt
Filed under: fungal sp.
Lineage: Eukaryota; Fungi
Description: eukaryotic LSU rRNA
Rfam family: Eukaryotic large subunit ribosomal RNA (bases 464-1043)
Source: RNAcentral